Molecule: ribosomal RNA, 742 nt
Filed under: uncultured bacterium
Lineage: Bacteria
Description: bacterial SSU rRNA
Rfam family: Bacterial small subunit ribosomal RNA
Source: RNAcentral
AUUGAACGCUGGCGGCAUGCCUUACACAUGCAAGUCGAACGGCAGCACGGGUGCUUGCACCUGGUGGCGAGUGGCGAACGGGUGAGUAAUGCAUCGGAACGUACCCGGAAGUGGGGAUAACGCAGCGAAAGUUACGCUAAUACCGCAUAUUCUGUGAGCAGGAAAGCGGGGGAUCGCAAGACCUCGCGCUUCCGGAGCGGCCGAUGUCGGAUUAGCUAGUUGGCGGGGUAAAAGCCCACCAAGGCGACGAUCCGUAGCGGGUCUGAGAGGAUGAUCCGCCACACUGGGACUGAGACACGGCCCCAGACUCCUACGGGAGGCAGCAGUGGGGAAUUUUGGACAAUGGGCGCAAGCCUGAUCCAGCCAUGCCGCGUGAAUGAAGAAGGCCUCGGGUUGUAAAGCUCUUUCGGCCGGGAAGAAAAUCGCAUCUCCUAAUACGGGGUGUGGAUGACGGUACCGGCAUAAGAAGCACCAGCUAACUACGUGCCAGCAGCCGCGGUAAUACGUAGGGUGCGAGCGUUAAUCGGAAUUACUGGGCGUAAAAGCGUGCGCAGGCGGUUUCGUAAGACAGACGUGAAAUCCCCGGGCUCGACCUGGGAACUGCGUUUGUGACUGCGAGGCUANAGUAUGGCAGAGGGGGGAUGGAAUUCCACGUGUAGCAGUGAAAAUGCGUAGAGAUGUGGAGGAACACGAUGGCGAAGGCAGCCCCUGGGCCAAUACUGNCGCUCAUGCACGAAAGCGU